Molecule: RNA transcript, 2334 nt
Organism: Tripterygium wilfordii
Lineage: Eukaryota; Viridiplantae; Streptophyta; Magnoliopsida; Celastrales; Celastraceae
Gene name: DNA polymerase alpha subunit B
Exons: 17
Source: RefSeq, a predicted model, not a curated record
CCGCCAAGCCCCGCUAUUUCCGCAAAUCUAUGCAACUCCUGUUCUGAACUAAACCCUAGCGAAGCGACGAAGAGAGGGAAAGAUAGAGAAGAGGGCCAUGGAAGCUGAAAUCCAAGCAGAGUUCAACAAAAGCGGGUUCAGUCUGGAGGACGAUGAAAUCCUCAAGAAAUGUCUUACUUUCUGCCUAAAUUACAAUCUCACGCCAUCAGAUCUCGUCUCAAGCUGGGAAGUUUACUAUCUCAAUAGGCAACUAAAUGAACCAACGGUACAGAAUUCUGAGAUGGAGGGCUUUCUACUGUACUUGCAGAAUGAACAGAGAGACGCAGUUAUUAAAGAGGAACCGGGAUUGCAUAUCUACUCAAUUCAUGAUGUGGACAUGAUUUUGAACGAAGAAGAUAAGACUGUUAACGAAGACAUACCCGGCACACCAACAGAAAAUUAUCUUAGACCCCAUUCAGAGCAAUCUGAUUCAAUACAGAGAACAAAUAGGAGUGGUUAUUCUUCUGCAAAACCAUCAAAACUUGUCACGCCUUUUGGACAACGGACAAAUAAGUUCGUGGUAAAAUUCAGCAUUAAUAACCUUCCCAAUUCAGAGAAUUACAAUAGUGAGCAUGAAAGUGAGGAUGUUGAGGAUGGUGUUAUUAAGAGAAUUCAACCUCGCAAGAAGUGUUCCUUGAUAGUCCAUGGGAAUGCACCAGAACCUGGUUGCAGGUUCAUGUAUGACAGGAUUGAAGACAGGUUCAAUGCUCUUGAAAACCGUCUUGAAAAGCACGCAAUUGCUAUUGCUUCUUCUGGUCUAUAUGAGGAGCUGAUGGACCCAACAAUUGCUUCACAGAGAAAUUUAUUUGCUGUUGGAAUGAUCUGUUGUGAUGGAGGUCUUUUGAAUGAGAAAUCAGUCUUGUUGCAAAGCAGUGUCAAGCAUUCUGGAGGGCAACGUGUUCGUCUAGACUUACAUAAGUUGAGCCAUUUCUCCAUUUUUCCAGGCCAGAUUUUAGGCAUUGAUGGUCAUAAUCCCAGUGGACACUGUUUAAUUGCAUCAAAGCUGGUAGAUUGUAUCCCUUUGUCUAUAACAACUGAUGUGAAUCUACAUCCUGCAAAGAAGCAAGCUUUGGAUCAGGAUGCUCAGUCAACUGAUCUUUCCUGCAAGCAGCCAGAGAUUUCAGUGAUAAUUGCAUCCGGCCCUUUUACCACAGUUGACAACUUGUAUUUCGAGCCUUUAACGGAGCUGCUAGCAUAUGCAAGCAGAAAGCUGCCACAAUUGCUCAUAUUGCUGGGACCAUUUGUGGAUUCUGAACAUCCAGAGAUCAAGAAAGGAACUACUGACAGGACCUUUGAUGAAAUAUUUCAGCUGGAAAUUCUGAGAAGGUUGCAAGACCACGUGGAAUACAUGGGCUCUGAUAUUCACGUAAUUCUUGUGCCAUCCACAAGGGAUGCUCAUCAUGACUUUGUUUUUCCACAGCCCGCUUUUGAUAUUCAUCCACCAGAUCUCAAACACCAGCUAACCUGUCUCACAAAUCCAAGCAAAUUCGAGGCAAAUCAGGUCAAGGUAGCAUGCUGUACCACAGAUAUCCUUAAACACCUCAGUGGAGAGGAGAUGUCACGAACUACAUCAGAUGGUGCUCCCAGCGAUCGCAUGAGCAGACUUGCAAGCCACAUUCUUAGCCAGUGCAGCUUCUAUCCAUUAUAUCCUCCAGCGGAAGAAGUCCCCAUGGAUUUUUCACUAGCACCAGAAGCGCUGAAUAUUGGUUCAGUUCCAGAUAUCCUCAUACUUCCUUCCGAUAUGAAGUUCUUCUUAAAGGUCUUGUCCCUAGGACAAACAAGUGAAGUGGAAGGGCAAAUGAAGUGUUUGUGUGUCAAUCCAGGGAGACUUGCUAAGGGAGAAGGGGGAGGCACCUUUGUAGAGCUGAACUACCAUGGGAGUCCUGACAUGAUGAAUGCUUCCAUUAUAAGCAUAUAAAUCCUGCAUGGAAAACUACCCUAAUAGCUUGAAAUGCAUCUAAAAUGGUGUGGGAGUUGACCUGCAACAUGUAGGAGGAAGACUGACUCCGAAAGGGGAAACGGAAUUCAUGGGAUUGCUCCGAUCAGAGAAUUCCAUGGCGGUCAGUACAAGAUUAAUCCAUUAAAGAAGGGUUCAAGCAAAUUGACAAAUCCAUCACCCAUACGCCUCUGCCUCUCUAAUUUAUAGUUUCCACAUGCAUAAACUUGGUGAAUCAUCAAAUAGGUGGCAUUUACCGGUGACAAAUUCAGACAAUCUUAUAGUUCAAACUUCAAACCAGCAAGGCAACAAGAGAGUACAAAUUUCUACCUCAUUCUCUUUUCUGCUUUAUUAAUCAU